UUGCUGAUGUGUAGGAGUACUAUUAUAUAUUUGUAUGGGUAGUGUAGAGAGUGGUUGUUUCCUCGGGGGUGGUAGCUUUGGGAUCAGAGAACGAAUCCACAGUGGGGUGGUCUCCAUUUUGUAAUUAUUCUCUUGUUCCUUCCCUGGAGGCACACCCCACCCCCACCCCCUCUCUCUCUAUGUCACAGAAAAGGAUAAUUUUUUUUACUAUUGAAUUCAAAACUUAAAACGUCAGCAAAACUUUGGAUAUUUCUUUUUUCCUCGUCGCUGUAGAUUUUAUUAUUUUAGAAUAAGAUCUCAAUAUUUGAAUUGGCAGGACAUUUUCUUUCUAAAAACAUCCUCUUAAUUUCAAAUUGGUAAUAUGAUAUGAAUUUUUAUUAUUAUUCAAAAAAAAAAAAAUAGAUAAAAUGUUGGAGGAAGGGUACACAGUUUUGGGAUAGUUGAGCAUAUGAUGGGGACUUGCCAUCUAUUCUAUCUUGUUCCACAGCUGUCAAACCCGCCUCCCUCCCUCCAUUUAUUAAUGUGUGUCCCACUCUUUACUACCACCAUCCCUACUAGUAUAGUACUACUGCCAUUUUUAUUUUUGGAUAUCCUUUUACCAUCAUUUCCUCAUCAUCCAUUGGUUUGGGUUUUUUUCGUAAUACAUACUUCAAUUAAUAAGUUUGAAUCAUAUAUUAAUUAUAGUUAAUUUUAAAUAUAAGGUGAUUUUGCUUUACUUGGUCCAAAUUUAGGAGAAAUUAUUUUGACUAAUUAUGAAUUCAAUUCUUCAUUGCUAUAUAUUCACGUGAGCUAUGUAUACGACUUUUUCUGAUUUUGUUUGAACAUAAUAUAUUUUUGUGUGUUAAAAAGAUUAAAAAAAUAUUCAGCUGUUAUUAACAAAAAAAUGUGUUAUAGUAUACGAAUUUUGUGGUACAAGUCAAAAAUUCGUGAAACCAAUUUUAAAUGAACUAUUUCUUUGUUAAUUAUGAAUUGAUAUCUUUAUUGCUACUACACAUUGGAGUAUUAAAAACUGUUAAAAAAAUAAUAUGACCAUUUUAGCUAUUAUUAAUAUGCAUUUUUACACUCUCUCUGCCUGUAUGUACCAUAAAAAUUAAAAACCAAACACAACUCAUAAUGGUCUCAAGCCCAAAAAUGUUAACACUAAAACAACUAUUUAUGCAGGAACUAAUCAUGAAAAUUUUGGUUGGAAAAAAAAAAAAGAAUAAGAAAAAGAAAAAGAAAGAAAAAAUAGGAGCUCCAAAUUAGUUGAAUAAUGGUUAGCAAAAUGAGAAAGAACGAGGAGGAUCCAUCCAGUAUGUUUGGGGUUUGUCUUUUUGUGAUGCACCCAAAAGUUAAGAGGUUGUGUUUCCUUCCUUGUUCAGUUCGAGAGAGAGAAAAAGAAAGGGUGUAUUUCCAUAUAAGGAAAGGGGUGCCGCAGCUCUAUGGAAAAGGGAGCUACCGUGAGGACUAAUGGGUUUAACAUUUCCGACAAUAAAUUACUGCUGUCUUCCAACAGUGAUGAAAUUGUUAGAUUGAUGAAGCAGAAGCUACACCACCCCCACCCCCACCCCCAC
Molecule: non-coding RNA, 1553 nt
Organism: Erythranthe guttata (spotted monkey flower)
Lineage: Eukaryota; Viridiplantae; Streptophyta; Magnoliopsida; Lamiales; Phrymaceae
Source: RefSeq, a predicted model, not a curated record